AGUGAACGCUGGCGGUAUGCCUAACACAUGCAAGUCGAACGGCAGCACAGUAAGCUCUCGCCCUUACUGUUGGCGAGUGGCGGAUGGGUGAGGAAUACAUCGGCUUCCUCUUUUUCUUGGGUGACUACGUAGGGCCACAUAUGCUAAUACCGGAUAUGAUCUACGGCAGAAUUCAGAGGAGCUUCGCACCUUUGGCGACUGAAUUAGCCGAUGCCGCAUUAGCUAGUUGGCGUGGUAAAGGCCCACCAAGGCGACGAUACGUAGCUGGUCUGAGAGGAUGAUCAGCCACACUGGAACUGAGACACGGUCCAGACUCCUACGGGAGGCAGCAGUGGGGAAUCUUGGACAAUGGGCGCAAGCCUGAUCCAGCCAUGCCGCGUGGGUGAAGAAGGUCUUCGGGUCGUAAAGCCCUUUUGUUAGGAAAGAAAAGAAGCGGAUUAAUCCCCCGCUAUUCUGACGGUACCCAAAGAAUAAGCACCGGCUAACUUCGUG
This 492-nucleotide ribosomal RNA is filed under the name uncultured bacterium. RNAcentral describes it as "partial 16S ribosomal RNA". It matches the Rfam family "Bacterial small subunit ribosomal RNA", at positions 29 to 507 of the family's 1533-position model. The record is from RNAcentral.